UACUUAACUACUCUAGAUCACCAGAAAGC
This 29-nucleotide non-coding RNA is filed under the name Rattus norvegicus (Norway rat). The record is from RNAcentral. Lineage: Eukaryota; Metazoa; Chordata; Mammalia; Rodentia; Muridae.